This 72-nucleotide transfer RNA is filed under the name Vicugna pacos (alpaca). RNAcentral describes it as "tRNA-Ala (AGC) (tRNA-Ala-AGC-67-1)". It matches the Rfam family "tRNA". From Rfam's summary of the family: Transfer RNA (tRNA) molecules are approximately 80 nucleotides in length. Lineage: Eukaryota; Metazoa; Chordata; Mammalia; Artiodactyla; Camelidae. The record is from Rfam by way of RNAcentral.
GGGGGUAUAGCUCAGUGGUAGAGUGCGUGCUUAGCAUGCACGAGGUCCUGAGUUCAAUCCCCAGUACCUCCA